AAGCAACGACAAAUCGUCGUCGUGUUGCUGCCUGGUGCCCUGAUUUUUAUUGGCCUGCUAUGUGUGUCUCAUUUUAUAAUGUUAUUUUAAUUAUGUCGUUACCAUUUACGGCACGAGGUCUAUAUGGUAAUUUGAGUUUUCCAGGCGGUCAAUCCAAGGACGAUGGCAUUAUAGGAGAUGUCGCAAAUAUGCCUGUUGUACUUGAGGUGUUUCUGAUAAGCUUGUUCUUUCUUGCCAAUUUAUUUGGUUUUAUUAAUGUGAUUAAGAGAUCGGGUCUUGGCGUGGCAUUUUAUGAAAUCGUCCAUUAUGUCCAAUUGCUCAUAGCUUUUAUUUGGUGCUCGAGUGCCGAUAUCAAGUCUCAUGUUAUGUCACAAUAUGUAUUAGGAUGGUGUGCUAUCAUUGGUAUCGUUAUGCAAUUGACCUCUACAGUUGUAAUGACGGUGUUUACUCUACAAUUGGCAGAUCUCAUCGAGGAUUAAGUGAUCAUCGUUCAUACAGAAAAACAUUUAAAACAAUAAACGUAUUUCAUCAGGUGGUUUUUGGCAUGAAUCGCUUGAAGUUUAUUUUGAACAAUUGCCUGUAAUCUGGGGUACCGUCGCAAAAUUCUAUGCCACAAAAGAACACUACAAUGAAGUUCGGGAAAAUAGAAUCAAUGGGACAAUAUCAACGUUGGAACAAGAACUGACACAUAAAAUAGGCUCAUUACACCAGUCAAUUGUAACGAGAUCAAAACAAGCUGAUCAAAAUUUUGAAGAAUUUCGUUAUAAUUACAAUCAUGAUUAUAUUUUCUCCGAACAAGCACCAAUUCGGACUGCAUUCAAAUCAUCAUUUUCAACAAAAGAUAUAAAAAAUUUUAAUCCUGAUGGUGAAAUUGGUACAGAAUUAUUCAUGGAAUCAAUCAAAGGAGCAGCAUGUUUUAUAUUUCAAAAAAAA
Molecule: long non-coding RNA, 933 nt
Organism: Aphidius gifuensis
Lineage: Eukaryota; Metazoa; Arthropoda; Insecta; Hymenoptera; Braconidae
Exons: 6
Source: RefSeq, a predicted model, not a curated record